CCCAGGAUAGCCAGAGCCUAAGGAGUCGGCUUAGCAGCAGGAAGAACUUUAUCACAGCUUAUUUGGGCCUCCCAGAGGUAAAUUGAAAGGCUGCGAGGAAACAACUGAAGUCCCUACCUAAUCCUACACCCAUCCCAAGGGAGUAUGGGUAGAAGGACAGGGGACAGAAUCAGAAGGACUUCACAACCCAGGAGUAAAGGAGAAAAGCCGGUUCCCAGGCAACAGCUAGGUCAGUCAGUAGCUGAAAGACCCCCAAGGCAGCUGUAGAUCUCUGUUCUUCGCCUGAGUCUCUCAAGCCGGCAAACGGGAAGCUCUGCAAUACCAGAGGGGGCCGCUAGGGAGUGCUCGCCAACAGCCAGGCUCCAGAAAGGAAGGAGCCGGCCAAGCCAAGAAGACCGGAAGGCAAUCGAUCAGAGUCGCCCUGGCAACCGGGCUGAGCCCGAGACAGACAGCACGUCGAUAAUGAAAUCAUCGUUAAAUGACUUCAAGCCCUAAUUAAUAAUCCAGGCCAACCGAGGCCAUGCCUGACUGGGGUCGGGGGAGGGGAUGUCAUUGUUGGGGGAGCACUGGAAGCUUCUGGACAAUUAAUCAAUUAAUCCACUCACUCAAUAAUUGGCUCCUUUGUCCUCUGUCAUGCCCCCUCCCCCACCUCAUCCACCUCUGACUGUGGAGAGGGGAAGAAGAAAUGUGGGGCUAAUAGUUUCCAAGGGCCACAGUUCUUUGCUCUCCCCUCCUUUUUUUCCACACAUCUGUUUCCUGAGCCAGCUCACAAAAGCUUCCCUAAGUCAGGACUUGCCUGCGCUCUUCCACAGGACCUACCAAAGAGUGAACAUUUCAGGACCCGGAGUCCCCUGCUAUCCAGGGGGCGAGGAACGCGGCUGUGCGGAGGAGCGGAAUCUUCUCAGCAGCGACCUGCGAAGGGCUCAGCGGCCACAGGAGGGCGGCAGAGAACAGUGCUCCCUACAGAUCCAGACAUCGGCCCUGGAUGCUGUCUGGAAUCCAGGCAAGGCCAGGCUGGGCUGCCCUAGGCUGGGGACGUCUUUAGCUCGAGCAAGAACCUAUGAAUUUCUGAAUUCAGGAAUCCUUGCAUCCCAUCUCAAGCUCUCUAGUCCCUGAAAUGCCAUCGCCCUCCUUCGCCUCCCUUCCAUUUCUGGUUCUAGCACUGGGGCUGCUGGCACAGAAGGACCCUGUGGCUUUUCCUUCAUGGUAUAGCAGAUAACACCCACGGUCCUCCGUGACAUUCCCUGGGGUCCCAGAUGAUAACUGGGGCCAGAACUAGAACCCAUGACUUCUUGGUUCUCAGCGCAGGGGUCAUCCCGUUGUGUCAGCUGCAGCUCCUGAAAAACACCAUACCCUACAGGCCACAACCAGACAGCAUCUCAAACCCCUGGCUUAAACAAUCAAUGUCAAAGCUACUGUGUUCUGUAUGUUUACAUAUGGAACUGGUGCAUACAAGACUGUUAACCCAGAACACACAUGUGUGCUGUAGCUACCUGGCUGUACACCCUUCAUCCUCAGGUACAUGACCCUCUGUCCCUUCUCUUCCUACUUUCUGAACUGCAAAAGAAGCUUCUCUUCAUUUAUAAUUUGGGCUUUUCACUGUAGUUUCAGAAACUCCUCGAAGCUGUAGACACAGAAGUCCUUUCCCAGUUCUAACCUUGGUCCAUCCUACCACAGCCCUUUACACCUGGAGAAGAGGACCUGCACAUGAUCUUCAGCUCUCUCUUCCCGGGUAUCCCUCACCUGGUCCUGUCACUGCUUCUUGCCUCUCCUGUCCCUCUGCUGACCAACCUAUGCCUCCCCCAGAUUCUUCUUGCUGCCACUGGUUCUCCUUUCAUCUCAAAAGCUGAGCCACCCAGGGAGGUGGGCACAGAAAAGAGAAAAGAAGAAAGGUAGGAGGGAUUGGGAAGAAAAUCUGUCUACAAGUCAGAAGAGGACUCUGUCCCUGCCCCCUUUACUCUCAGCUGGUAAGUUCUACUUAGAGUCUGACAUCAGUCCUCUGGCUAGUCCUCACUUUAUCUACUCUCCUUAAAGCUAAAGAGCUACAGAAGCUGAGAGUAAAUGAGGAGAAAUGGAUCCAGUUGUGUCGGGUAUAUGUGCAAGCUUGUAGACUGACAGCCUGAGUGUGUGUAUACACUUGCAUCACACACCACCCCUUCCCCAUUGUCGCCCCCACACACACGUAUUCCAUGCCAUCCCCAAUCUAGGAUUCCUCCUAUAAAACAAGAGGAGAAAAACAUCCCAACCUCUCAAACAUUUUAUUCUAACUUUGAUCCUCCAAGGGAAACCUAAAAAGACAACAGCCUCCCCCUCUGUUUCCCCCUCCCCAUGUCCUUGUCCACUCUGGUUUUUGAGAUUUCUUCUUAAACCCUGUGGGGUGCAGCCCCUACAUACCUUCCCCAGAAUCCAGGAGGCACUAGAGCCUCCUCCCUGCAAAGGACUGAGACAAACGCCAAUCACGUUGGGGCCUCUCACAGUGCCCAUUCUGCUAUGAAUUCCCAAGGUCAAAACCAUUCUGGUGUUAUUAAAAACAUAAAUGUUGCAUACCAGGCAGCGGGGGGAAAAAUUAUAAGGCAGCCAGACGAGAGGGAGAUGGAGGGGCCAGUAAUUGUCUUCGUCUUCCCAGAGUCAAGCUCCACGGGGCUGGAGCCGCACGCAGAACAUUGCUUUUUAAUUUAACUCAGUAAGGUCAGCAGCAGCAAAUGAGGCAGGGGAGGAAUGGCACCUCAGAGGGAGGGCACCAGGGCCUGCAGAACCGGGGCUCCUGGCCAAGAUCUCCAAGAAGUGCCAGGGGAAGCUGAGGGAGAAUGGCAGGGAGGAUUCGGUGACCCUUGGCUCACCAGAGAAGGGAGCUGGACUGAGGGGGAGUGAUAUAGGAACUCCAAGAAUCAUUAUAAGAGCUUCUGAGAGCCUGGGAUUUAAGUGGAAAGAAAGAAUAAGGCUUCAGAGGGACUGUAAGUGAGACCAGAAUGCCUGAUAGAGACAAAUACCCCCUUCACUUUCCACAGUACCCACUCUACAGAGGAGAAUAACAAGGUUCAUGGUUGGAACUCAGAAGUUCUCCUUUCCCCCAGUACCUGUGAAUCCUGGAGUCCAAGUGGAGAGAAUUCUCCAGUGAGGUGGGCCACUCUGUCGCAUCCCCUUCAUCUCAAGGAUGCAAGGGGGCAGGGGAGAGGAAAAUGGCAGGAGAAACUGAGGCAGAGCUGCCCUCCCUCAGAACCUUCCUCAUCUUCCCCACCUUUUUAGGGUCCCAGCUUCCCAUCUGCAGCUCAGAUAGCUGUAUGGUGGUUCUCUCCAUUUCCAGUGCUAUAGGAAGGAUUGAAGUUAGACCAGAGAAGGGACUUCCCAGAUCAGCAUCUUGGUCAUAGGCACAACCCAGGAUAGGGUAGAAAGGCUAAGGAACCUGGGAUUUUCUGAAUAGGACCAAUGAACUGAGCAUGAUGGGAUUAAUGAGGCUGGAGAAGGUGGGAGACUCACUGACUGGGGGUGGAGAGCAGCUGUGAAAAAGCCGUGCAACAGUCACAGGCAGUAGCAUCCAAAUACACUUUGGGACUUACUGGAACUUCUGCAGAUCAGACCUCAGAUCCUCCUGCUUCAGUUUCAGGAUGAAACUGUUAGGAGUUUCAUCCUGUUGCCCUGUUAGGGUUUUUGUUUUUGUUUUAGGGAAGGAGGAUUAAAACAAUAGGUUUGAGACUGAAGGACAGAGUUUUAAUUCUCUGUCUCCAUCCCUAAGUGUCCUUGAUACUUGGCAGGUUUCUACUUCCAUGUCAGUCAGGAAUUAGGAGACCCCAAUGUCAAUUUGGAAAUCUGAAGUUUGCUACCCUCAUAAUGUACACCCCUGCCAUCAUCUCCCUUUCCGGAAGGUCUCACUCUCAGCGCUGGGACCCCAACCCUGCAGUUCUCCGUAUCUGCCACAAGGUGGCGGCCAAAGCAUCGAUUGAUCCAGAGCUAGACCUGGUGCCUCACUAGAGCCAGGACCCUGGCCUCCACCCAGUCUCCAUUCACCCCUUCCCCACCUGGGAUCUGCCAACCCCGAGGGACCCAGGAAAGGAGAAACUUUCUGGAAGAACUCCAGCUCUUCGGAUAAAUGGGCUGGGUGAGGACUGGGUGGGAGAAGGAAAGGGAAGGUGCAAGGGAAACCAGAGAAACACAAACCUGGAGGGCUUCAGUGGGGGAGCAGGCAGUCAGGUGUGGUGAGAAGCCCAAGCUGAGAAUCACAGUGGCUGCCUGCCACUGCCCGCACCACACCCAGCACCCCAGGGGCUCCAGCACAGCAGCCCAGAGCUGUUAACUUGCCCAGAGGCAACCAGAGCAGAAGGAGUACCAGGAGCUGGGAUGCAGGGAGCCUACACCAGAGUAAGCCACCAAGAUCCAGUCAGGGAAAGGGUCGGCACCACCUCUUCCUCAUCAGUAUGAGACCAUGAGACCCGGUGGGACUCCGUUAUCCCUGCUAUUCCCAGAAAACGUUAAACAGGGAAGGGUUCAGUCAGUCUCCCCUGCAGUACUGAUUCUCCUGGUGCGGGAAGAGGGUCCUGGGAGACAGGAAAGAAGAAAGAAGGCAGAUCCCUAGAGAGAAGAAAAAACAGCCCUGCUCACAGGGAGGUGCCAGUAUGUGGGGACCAGGAAAGAGAAUAGGAAGAGGCCUGCAAGCACCUUGGCAGUGGUUUCUAAAGGAAACGUCUGGGAUCCCGAACCAGGAGGAUCAGUCAAGGAGGGCUUCCUAGAGGAGGACAGUAUGGGGCAAUCUUGUAAAAUGCUGAGAGGCUGGUCUGGAAAAAGGAGACAGAAGAUAGUUCAGGCUGAAGACAGACUAUAUGUAUGAAAUUGUUUGGGGUCAGGGGACAACUAAAUCUCUGGAUGGCUGCUCAGGUGGAGCUUAGAGACCACGCCACCCUGCAGUGGGAGAAUGGGGAGUUGAAGGAACAGACAUGGUGCAUGUGAGGCAAUGAGGCCUCAAGACCCAGCUGGCAUGGCUGGGCAGCACCCGGGCCCAGCUGAAUAUUCCUCCCUCUCCCCCACCCCCAUAUAGCCAGGAGAAUAGGAACAAAAUGUAGGAUCCUCCAAAUAGGGCACAAGAAGGACUCCUAGACCAGGAGUCAGGGGCCUGGGUUUUUCAGAAGCAACCACUGCAUAGCAGGGGACGCUGGGUAAGUCUUCCCAUCUCUGAGGACUCUGGCUGCUGUCUGUACAGGCUGAUACUGAUGCUCUCUGACCUCCCUUUUCUGAGACUGUCCUGUUGAUGACUGCCCUCCUCCCAAAUAAUGGUCUGACUCAUCUGUGAACUGCCAGGCUUUAGUCCUCCUUCUCUCGGUGUCCGUAUACUCCAGACACACUCCUCCAUCCAGAAGAAAUUACUCCAUUGCUGUGGUGGGGGAAUGGAGGUGCAACACCCUAUUUUCAUGAAAUUACCCUGGCCUAUUGGGCAUCAAACAUGACAAGAGGAUCUGAAGUUAGACUCAAGGAAGAACGUCCUAGCACAAGUGGCCUGAAAACCUCAGCUUGUGUGAAAUGCAGUAAGAAUAUAUACUAG
RNAcentral lists this long non-coding RNA (5530 nucleotides) under Macaca mulatta (Rhesus monkey). RNAcentral's name for it is "lncRNA (ENSMMUG00000056965.1)". The record is from RNAcentral. Lineage: Eukaryota; Metazoa; Chordata; Mammalia; Primates; Cercopithecidae.